CACAGGAGGCCCUGCAGUGUGACAAGGGCCCCUUGGUUCUAUGGAGCCCACAGGGUCAGUUUUGCCAGUGGGCAGGGUCAGCACCAAAGACACAGACAGCAACUGAAGGAAUUGUCUCAUUUAUAUAAGCAGGAGUCAGAGGAAGAGAAUAUGUGUGACCUGCCUGGCUUUAACGUUGUGCCAGGAGCAAUGCCACGGGGAAGCUGGUCAGAGGAGUAUCUGAGAAGUGUGUGGUACAUCAGUGAUGUCCUACUACUGAUCUUUGCACAGAGAUGAAAAAGUAUCAGUUUGCAUGGCCUGAAUGUCUGGCUCUGGACAUUCUGCAUUGCACAAGGUGUGCUGAGCUCAUCUGGCUCUGAAAUAUCAUCUCUGCACCUUAGCCAGGAACAGCAUCAGAGUUCUGAACAGAUUCAUCAAAAUCAGUCAAAAGCCAGAAGCAAACCUUGGAAAUACACAUCAGUGGCAGGUUUUUCUGUUUGGAAGGAAGCUUGGCACAAUGUCCAUUGUCUUCUCCAUUCGUGAAAGACCAAGCGGAGUCUGGGCAGGCUGAUAUGCAGAGCAAAACCUGAAAAUAUACUAGUGAUCCUGAGCCUGGGCGAUGCAGCUAAACCCAGCCAAAAGCAAUUUCUGGAAAGCUGAUCCUGGUUUACAUUGUCUUGAGUUUGGCUUUGCCAACUUCACCAGUCAUUUAUGAAAAAGCAAACAAAACUCAAACCAAAUCAGACAAAAACCCAGUCAAUCAAACAAACAAACCCAUGCAGCAAACCAAUCAAACAAAUAGAUAAAAAACGCCAAAUAAAACCAAGGGAAAUGAGGAGUUAGUGUUAGUUGUGAGGAUAGCACAGCAGGCAAAUGGCUGCUUGCCACAGGAUCACCAUCAAAAGCCACAUAGAACAGCUGCUCCAAAAUAUACCCAACAGGAGAAAAAGAAAAAGUGAUCCAUGGCAACUUUGGGGGCAGAUCCACAUUCAGGUGAAGGAUGAGCACGCAGUGGUACAGAUCCAGCCUUGCCCACCCUCCAGGCUGCUGUUUGCUCCUGAUGAAAGAUUCUUGCAGGACUCUGGCCCCUCUCAGUGCAGUGUCAGUCAUUCCCAGAGCUCUCAGCUGAGCCACUGGCAUUUCCAGAGUGACAUCCAAUGGGAUACCCUUUUCGGUUUGUCUCCUAAUGCCAUAGGGGUCCUAAACAGUAUAUGCCAUCCCAUUUUUGUUCCGUUGAUAUUGACUGCUUGGUUUUAUUUUGUCAGCAGUUCUAUUCAUUAUGAAUUGGAAUAUGAUGAAGAAACUAAGGAAGUUAGCACCUAUAAUUAGUGCACAUAGCUUAACUGAUGCGGCAGCUCAUUUAAUGCUUGCUAGGAAAGAACUAGAAAGAUUUAAUGAACAAAAUUGGUAAAAAAAGAAAUGGGGGAUUUGUAAUAAGUAGUAAUACAUUUGUUCAUUAAUUAAAUCAAUAGCUAAAUAACUAUACAAUAUAAAACAAUAGUUAAAUAGCCAAAAAAACGUCUUGUGCAGAUACAUAUGGUUGCUGGUUUACUAUAGUGCUUUGGGAAUUUCAUUGUAAAGUUAUGCCUUGUGAAAGGAAAGUAAUGAGAAGCAGCUGUAAUAACAAUCCUUAAACUUGCUAGAAUUGCUUAGCUUGCAGAAAGUGUAUAGUACUAGUAAGAAUUGCUUAGCUUGCAGAAAAGUGUAUAGUGUUCUGUAUAGAUAUGCCUUAUAAGGCAUAAGUUCACUCAGCGUUCACAAAGAGGAAGACUAAGGGGGACUAAGCCUUCAUCCCACGACCACCAGAAGGCAGAAAAAGACCCCCUAGCAACUGAAUGAGCAAGUGCAGAAGACAGAUCACGUCAUCCCUAAACCCGGAGAAGAAGGCAAUAAAAGGUGGACUCAGGGGAUAGGAAUUUUGUGAGCCAAAGUGGAGCGGAGACUCCGGGCCGCCCAGCGCUGUCCUUGCUUAUUCUUGCUUGCAAAAAUAAUAAUUAUUUGAUCCUUAAAUUCAGUGGACUUGUUUAUCACACUGCCCAGACCCUAAACUGCCCCAAAUGUGCCCCAGAAAUGUCUCCAGGGACCCCAGAGUGGCCCCUUUUACCCUGUGCGUGAAAAUAAUAAAAAAAU
Long non-coding RNA from Passer domesticus (house sparrow), 2109 nucleotides. RefSeq lists it as uncharacterized. The transcript is spliced from 3 exons. The record is from RefSeq and is a predicted model, not a curated record. NCBI's taxonomy places the organism in Eukaryota, Metazoa, Chordata, Aves, Passeriformes, Passeridae.